This 326-nucleotide unclassified non-coding RNA is filed under the name soil metagenome. Its description in RNAcentral is "partial contains 5.8S ribosomal RNA, internal transcribed spacer 2, and large subunit ribosomal RNA". The stretch from base 1 to 120 matches the Rfam family "5.8S ribosomal RNA", at positions 35 to 154 of the family's 154-position model. The record is from RNAcentral.
GAUGAAGAACGUAGCGAAAUGCGAUAAGUAGUGUGAAUUGCAGAAUUUAGUGAAUCAUCGAAUCUUUGAACGCACAUUGCGCCCUAUAGUAUUCUGUAGGGCAUGCCUGUUCGAGCGUUAUUGAGACCUCAAGCUCUGCUUGGAAAUGGGCGCUUGUCUUGCCUUGCAGACUCGCCUUAAAACCAUUGGCAGCUGAUUUACAAUGUUUGGUGCACAGUACAUGAGCCCAAGUGUUGCAAUGAGUGGCCCAAAAGUAUACAAUAGAAGCUUAACCUCGGAUCAGGUAGGGAUACCCGCUGAACUUAAGCAUAUCAAUAAGCGGAGGU